AAUGAUUUGGCAGAUUAGUGCAUUAAAUUUAGAAUUUAAAUAAGUAUGUUAAAAUACAUUCAUUA
Molecule: transfer RNA, 65 nt
Filed under: Exitianus indicus
Lineage: Eukaryota; Metazoa; Arthropoda; Insecta; Hemiptera; Cicadellidae
Description: tRNA-Leu
Source: RNAcentral